AGAUGAGGGCGAAGAUGGCAGCGGCGGCAGCUCUCUUGUGGGUGCAUGACUCCCAUCCAUCUCUAAGCCUAUCCAGCCAAAACUUGCCUACACCAUUUACAGCAAGCCAUCCUGAUGAAUCCCACAGAAUUUACUCGGUUAGUGUGAUGAAAAAUGAGAGAGGUGAUGAUGAUGAUGAUGAUGAUGAUGAUGAUGAUGAUGAUGCCGAAAGUUAACGGGAAUAGUCACACAAAGGAUCCAAUGCACCAGGAAAAACGAAGUUUGGACGCUUUUGGAAUGGGUCACAUACAGGAGCUUCUGAUGCAGAUGUGACUGCGAGCAAGUGUCUCAUGCAGCCUGCUUGACUGCAGCCCGAGACACAUGCGUGCUCCUGCACCAAAGGUAACUAAAUCCACUUGGCCACCUCUGAGGUAAAUGGGUUUAAGACACAUGCACAUUAUUUGGUUUGUCUCCAUCAGACCCAACAGUCCUGACAGCAGUGCAGGUGGAGAGGGAUUAAAGAUUGGCUUGGAUUCUACUUCAAAGUCAUCAUUAAAGCUGAGUGGAAUAGGAAGAGCACACUUUUGGGAUGGUGAAGACUCCAAAGAAUACUGCACCAAAUCAAUACCAGAGCAGGAAAUCAUGUCAUUUCCAUGUUGACUUUGCUUGCAAAUGUUGAGGGGUUUACCUGUGCAUAAAGGACGUACAGAGGAAAACAAAUCCAAGAUAGACAAGUCCAACAUAUGAACUUGCUGAAAUCAGGCUGCACGGAAGACGAAACGAGGAAGAAGGUUCCGAUGCCGAACACGAAGGCUGAUCUCGACACAUCUCUCCACAUAACCAAAUUCUCUGACACAAUUCAAGAGAAAAUUUA
Non-coding RNA from Musa acuminata subsp. malaccensis (wild Malaysian banana), 853 nucleotides. The record is from RefSeq and is a predicted model, not a curated record. Lineage: Eukaryota; Viridiplantae; Streptophyta; Magnoliopsida; Zingiberales; Musaceae.